Molecule: non-coding RNA, 1360 nt
Organism: Danio rerio (zebrafish)
Lineage: Eukaryota; Metazoa; Chordata; Actinopteri; Cypriniformes; Danionidae
Source: RefSeq, a predicted model, not a curated record
UUUUAUAUACUUUUUGCAUAAUUACUCAAUGCUUUAUUUAUGCAGGUAUUUAUGGAUUUAUUCACUCAUUUAUUUAUAUAUUUGCGUAUUUAUUUAUAGUUUCUGCUGGUUUCGUCCUCCAUAUGCACUCAAAGUUUAACUAAAUCUGUCAAAAACAUUUGAAAAAAUGAAACAUGCCCUGAUAAUUUGUUAGAAAAAAAAUCUUUCAAGCAUUAAGAAACUUAUGUAUUUUUUAUUGUAUUUCAAGCUGACUUUAAACCAGCCAAUGGAACAUUGUGAGCAAGCUGGAGGACCAACAAACCAGAACAUUCUGACUCCAACUUAAUUUCUUUCGCAUCAGCCAAAUUAGUAGGUGUUUUUAAGUUGUGAAAUAAACAGGAAAAAUUAAAGCAUAGCUCGUUAGAGUUUUGAUUUUCUCUCCAAACAAACAUUCAGUGCUGCAAAUGUACUUCAAAUUGUUGAAAUGCACGAGACAUGCAGAAGUUGCAUGGGGAUUUUUUGUGCGCGCUAUAAAUAGGCAUCAAAACAAAAGCAGCGAUCCUGCGCCAAAUCACUCUGAGACUCACAGAAACACCGAGCAAACAGCCCAGAGCCCUCAGUCAACUUCUCACAUCUGCCAUAAACAUUCAUUUCAUACGCAUGCCAAGAUAAAAAAGAAAGGGAAGCGAACAGCGUCGCGAUUUUAUUGUUUUCAUAAGGGUUGCAUGCUUGUUUCGCUGCAAUGACAGCUUAUUUUGCAUGUUGCAAUCUAAUGAGAAUGUUAAUAACAAAUGCGUGGACAAUCUUAAAAAAGGGGAGGCCGAAAAGGCACAAAAGCAUCCAUUAAUUAUAUGAGGGCUUCCUCAAGCAGCCUCCAUUAAAAUGUCAGCUUUUGUUAUGCACGCAAAGAAAGAAGCACUCUCCAAAAGAGCUAUGCAACAUGUAAACUUCCGCUUGCAAACAAUAAUGCCCCUAUGCCUCCGUCCCUCUCUCGGUUAGUCUCGCUGAGAAAAUAAAAAAGGAAAAAAAACUCGAGGAUAAAAAAAACGAAGAGAGGAAAAAAAACGUCGACGCCAAUGCGAGAGAGACGCAGCUUCAUGCAGACUUCCGGCUGGCGAGACAGGGGGAGAAGCGCCCGCGGCUCCUCCGGGCCGGGACAGUUCGGAAACUUCGUCCAAAUCCGCCCGAACCCCUUGGAUUCACCGAUUUUUUUCCCUCAAUUUUUUUCUAUUUUUUUCUCUCGCGAAGGGCUGUCCGACUCCGCUCGACUACACUUCCUGUGGAUGAGGUCAAAAUUUUAACUAGCUUGCCGCCAAAACCACUUCCGCUAUGUGAGGUCAAUUAUGUUUCAUGAACACAAAUAAAGGUUCGUUUGAUUGAU